GCCAGGUGCAGUGGUGCACACCUGUAAUCCCAGCAGCUCUGGAGGCUUAGGCAGGAGGAUUGAGAGUUCAAAGCCAGCCUCAGCAAUGGUGAGACACUAAGCAACUCAGUGAGAUCCUGUCUCUA
This 125-nucleotide small RNA is filed under the name Marmota monax (woodchuck). Lineage: Eukaryota; Metazoa; Chordata; Mammalia; Rodentia; Sciuridae. The record is from RNAcentral.